AGGCCCCACCUCCUAAUACCAUCACACUGGGGCUUAGCACCUCAACAUAUCAAUUUUGGGGAAAUACAAUUCAGUUCACAGUGCAUAGAUAGAUAUUAAUUGAUAUUAUCAAAAGAAACCAUGGGCAGAUAAACCCAAAACCAAACUGUUUUAAUGGUUAUCUAUUGGGAAGAAAAAGAAACAGGGUGAACGGGAAGUUACAGAAGCAAGAUUUCUGUGACUGUAACUGGAUAAAUAGAGAGUUUGGGAGGACGAUAAGUGUUUUAUGUGAUUUUUAAAAAUUAAAGUAAACUGAAAUGAAUGAGUCUUCCUGCAUAUAAAGUGUGUGGCAUAACCACAUAAAGCAAACAAUUACUUAAAGUGGCUUUAAAACGCAGCAUUUUGACUAUACAUCCCAAGUGAGAGAUAUGCUAUGGACAAUAAAAAAAAGGAAAAGAAAAAAGGAAAGAAAUCAUAAAUGGCAUUCAGUAGCCAUAUAUUAGUAUUGACAUUUUUAUUAAAUUACUAUGUUUCCAUCAUUAGGAACCAUAAUUUUCAGUAUAAAAAUGACAUAGCAUAAAAUCAAGGAAGUUUAAGUAAAAAUCUUGUAAUCUUAAAAGUGAAUUGGAAAUUGCAGUAUGAACUCACAUUGUGUUUUACUCUUUAAAAAAUACAUAUUUUCUAGUUCUGUCCACUGAAAAGACCCAGAAGCAAUGAAAACCCAGUAACAAUGAGCACACUUCCACGGCUGAACUCUCUAGAUAACAUUUACCAAUGAAAUUGGCUGAUUCUAAGUCUAGGGCAAAAAAUGUACAAAAGGAGACUGGAUACAAGUCUCUUAUUGUACCAGAAAGUGAAGGAGAAAUCAAAGACUAAUGAGGUCACGUUAAAGUGAUACAGGACGACACAGGGCCUGCCUGCAGCAGCUGGUCAAUAAUGAAGGGAUUAAUCCAUGACUGCAAGACUCGUGGGAAGGAGGGAGUGGGGACUGCAGGGAGGGUCCUAGUAAAAGCAGGGUGGGCCUCGAUGAGCACAGCAUGGACAGUGCGAUUUAAAUCCCAUCGCUUGUGGGCAGGAGGAGUGAGGAUGCCAGAACCUAGUUAUCCCCCACCAUCCCACGCUCUCCCAGGAGGCGGCGGCAGGAAGUGCAGUCUACAGUAAGGGAAAGCCGCCGGAGCUGGAGACAGGCUGGAAAGAGCAGGUAACAGCCCACAAGGAGCGGGGGCCCUGGCUGUCAGACUCAACUUGCAGGACCAUCAAGUGCAGGUGUGGUUCAAGAACCGGGGCCGCUUGCUCUGCGGUAGCAACGGCACAUAACCGCAGCGAUGACCAGGGCAGCCAAGCCAGCAGCCGGGACCCCGGGAUGCUCUUGGCACAUGAUCCGACUCCCCUGCCUUUGCGGGUCCUGUACUCCCGCGAGGUCCAGGAUUGUGCAGCCCCUCCCCAACCGGCCGUUGGGAAUCUUCGCAGCAGCAGAACCCGCUGCCUCCAGGUCCGACCAGACCUGCAUAGGUAGAGAGUCCCCGCACAGGGCGGCCAGCAGAGCUACCCAGCUGCCCCAGGGCCUCGGGACCCCUGGGCCUGGGACCCAGGCCAGACCCUGACUCAUUCGGUGAUCUCACAGGACUCCUCCCACCCCAAGACCCUUUCAGGGACCCUGCCUCGAACUCCACGACAUGGGAGGCAGGGGCGGGCCUUUUGCAGGGGAAGGACUCCCCCAGCAGGACGUUUACUGAAUCUGGAGGGAGUCGCCCUGCAGAUAUCCCGCGGAAGCCGGAGGAGACCCAGGUGCGCCCCACCGGCUAGCUGCGCCUGCGGGUGCCCAAAUUGGUGUCCGGGCCAUCCUCACCGCAGUGACUCCUCCGCAGCGCCAACGCACUCCAUUUUCCUUCCACCCUGCCGGUGGGGGGCGUUUGCUUGUUCUCACUCUGCAGCCGCAGCCAGUGGCGCCGCUACCAAGGUCCCCGCCUCGCCAUCCGGGUCCUGCCUGAGCAUCCUUAUUGGUGCUCAGGGCUAGGCGUGCAUUGCUGCUAGGGGCGCGGAAAGGUUUAUCGUGGGUGGAUGCUGCCCGGGGCUUGAGUGGUUUUUAGAGGUCUUGAGUGGCUCACUCUCCAAUCAGCGCUUUCUAGAGACAGCGUGGUCAGCGUACUUGCUUACUUUCAGGAUUGCGAGACGUCUUUAACCCUUGCUGAUCGGCUGACGCUGCAGCUUCCUGUGGCUUCCUGCUCAUUUCCCGCAAGAUAGCACUGAUAGGCAAUUCCAUUUUGGAAAAUUUAUCCUGAGGAAAUAAAUAAAGAUGUAAACAGAGAAUAACUUACAGAUGUGACGUUUGUGAUCGUUAAAACUGGAAACAGCGCAAGAGUGGACGAUAGGGGAUGAGAGAGCCACACAGCGCAUAGAAGAUGAUCAGUCUGAAGAGAGGGUUUUCAGACAUGCAAUUAACUGCUAUUCACUGUACUUCAUUUUAACUGCAAACUAGCAGGGGAGUCAUGAUUCUACCUUUUUGGAAAUGACCCUCUAGCAGUUUUAUUGGUCCUAUGAGAUACACAGUAGAUUCACCAGCCAGAGCCAGAUGAGCUGCACAGUUGCCAAAGGGAACUUCAGAUGCCACCAGAGCCUCAGCUCUGUCCUCCCUCACCUCCCAAGAAAGCCUGGAUCUUUGAGUUGUGUUGAUGGGCAUAUUCGUGUUUGCCACUUGAAGGAGUAAGAGGCCCGCGUGGAUCUGGAGGCAAGUGGCUGUGCCCUCCUGCAAUCUGCUCACCUGCAGAAAUGCUCGCGUAGGGCAGCUCUCAAUUUUCUGCCACCUCCUCAGCUUUUUCUGUGAAACAGAAGUUGGUUACUUUGGAUGAAAAUUAUCUUUCAUAUAGGUGGUUGGUACACGAAGCAAUAGUGACAAAUAAAACUCUGUGUGCGUGCUUCUGUUUUGUCAUGCAAUGAAAAGUAGUUUUGUUCCAGAAUAUGAAUGAACACAGUGAAUGAAGGUCUAAAGAAGUGAAUGUUAUUUGCCUUGGUUUAUAAUACCUGAGUCUGAAAAGAGACAUGAAGUAACUUAGAUCUUAGCAAAGUUUCCUCACUUUUGAUGGGCUUGCCGCCUUGGCUUACUGGUCACCGCCUUCAUCUACAGCAGGGGUCCCCAAUCCCCGGGCUAUGGUCCAGCAACAGUCCAUGGCCUGUUAGGAACCGGGCCACAUAGCAGGAGAUAAGCGGUGGUUACAGCUGCUCCCCAUCACUCACAGUACUGCCUGAGCUCUGCCUUCUGUCACGGUGGCAUGAGAUUCUCACAGGAGUAUGAACCCCUAUUGUAAACUGUGCAUGCAAGGCAUCUAGGUUGUAUGCUCCUUAUGAGAAUCUAAUGCCUGACAAUCUGUCACUCUCUCCCAUCACCCCCAGAUGGGACCAUCUAGUUGCAGGAAAAUAAGCUCAGGCCUCCACUGAUUCUAUAUUAUUGUGAGUUGUAUAAUUAUUUCAUUAUAUAUUACAAUGUAAUAAUAAUAGAAAUAAAGUGUACAAUAAAUGUAAUGUGCUUGAAUCAUCCAGAAACCAUCCCCCCAUCCCAGUCCGUGGAAAAAAUGUCUUCCAUGAAACCGGUUCCGGGCGCCAGAAAGGCUGGGGACCACUGACCUGCAGCACAAAGGCUAUUCUUUACCUUCCUUGUGGUCUGCCUGACAGCAAAAGUGUGUGUCUUGCCAGAAAAAUUUCUGUGCCUUAUGCUGACUUCAUUCAGUCCUUGAGUAUUUAAACAAAACAAUACAAAAACUCACUUGUGAAAGAGAUGAUUCUUUAAACUCAUGUCACCUUCUGUUUACUUUUACAUUUGUUUGCAUUAUUAAAAGAGUAAGCAAGAAUUAUUUCUUCAGCACCCAUGAUAUGCUCUGAGUCAAGUGCCUAAAUCUUCUCUGACAACUCUUUUGAUUUUUCCUUCUAGAGAUCAGAUCCUAAAUAUAGAAAGAGUAAAAGAAAACUUUUUAUCUUGAACUAAAACAUUCUUUGAAACUUCCCAGAGGGCCCCUGGAAAUUCACGAGAUUUGUACUUUCACCCUAUGAAGCAAGAGCAAGAGAGGCCAGAAGUAAUUAUGUUUAUUAUUCUUUAAUCAGCAUCUGAAGAGAUGCUCAGCCUCCCUAGGUUAAGUUUGUAUCAGUAAACUCAUUAUAAAUAGUUCAGACACUGCACACUUUGUAGGAAGGCCCUGAAGCUUUGCCAGUGCCCUCGUCGCCGUCCAUUGUAUGCUUUACCUUUAGUGAGACACUGAUCAAAAUGCUUAUGAAAUAGUUAUUUCCCAGUAGAGAAUCUUACUUUCCUGCGGUUGCUGUAAUAAAUUAACCAACAGUCAACUACCAGUAGUUUUGUAUUUACUCUGAUGUGCACCUGGGACUCUGCUGUAAGCCACUGGUGAGCGGCUGUGCCUUCCACAAGGGGCAGCCUCAGAGGCUCAAGAGGACAUGCAGGGGCUCUAAGCUGAGGAUGCUACAGUGAAUCACCUCGCGGGGACACGCUCCUGAGCGGACCUCACUUAGGCCACCUUCAGAUCAUCCAUCAGACGGAGUCAUGACUUCUAGGCCUCUAAGCUCAGAGCAGAGGCUCCCUAAAAGUUCUCUCUUGACUGGAUCCAGAGAACAGGAAUUAUUACUUAGGAUUGAAUGAGGCAAUUUUGUCUUGGUUAUUUUUUGGAAUAUUGCUGAUGUUGCUUUGAUGUUCUUUCAUUUCUAGAUCUGUGAGGAAGCUCCUUCUCUUCCUUUUUAACCUACAAUUUAAUAGACUUUGCUUUUGUCAAUUGAAAAGAAACAUUUGUAAAAUAGUUUCUUAUUUUCACUAACCCUCCAGAACUCAGAAAAUGACUUAGUCUUAAGUUUUCAUGGAAAUAUAGUUAUUUUCAUAAAUUCAAUGGAGAACUUUUCUUCUUUUGCUGGGAUAAAACAGCAUUAAGCAAUAAGGGUUAUUGUGGGGUUGUCAUAAUUGGAGGUGAGUCUCAUUUAAUCAGGUGGGAUAAGCCACUUUUAUACAGAAUUGAUGCCACAAAGCUACUGCAGGAGAACAUGCUGGGCCCUUGAGUCCUAGCCUCACAGGUGGUAGGAAAGGUGGUUUCCUGCAGGCCAGGAGCAAGCAUCAACUGAUGUAGGGAACUUUGAGAAGCGAGGAAGCCAUCCAAAGUUACAGAUACAUAGGUGAGAGCUGGUGGUGACAGUUCCUUGAACUCGGUUUCCCAGCAGAUAAAAGAGGCUUUUAUAAAUCCCAGCUAAGAUUUUCUAUUCAGACAGGAGCGAAUUCCAGGGCCAUGGCAGUUGCUUAAUGCUGCACAGCACUCUAGAUUUGAAAGCUACAGGCCAGGUGCGGUGGCUCAUGCCUGCAAUCCCAACACUUUGGGAGGCCAAGGUGGGCAGAUCACUUGAAGUCAGGAGUUCAAGACCAGCCUGGCCAAAAUGGUGAAACCCCAUGUCUAUUAAAAAUACAAAAAUUGGCUGGGCAUGGUGGCGCACGCCUGUAAUUCUACCUACUCAGGUGGCUGAAGCAGGAGAAUCACUUGAACCCGGGAGGCAGAGGUUGCAGUGAGCUGAGAUCAUGCCACUACACUCCAGCCUGGGCAACAGAGUGAGACUCUACCUAAAAAAAUAAGAAAGCUAACCCAAGGAGGUCUGGAAAGUCUAGAACAUUCUCACUGCACCUGUGUAAAUAGGCCAAACUGAGACCCAUUGUCUUGUGAUCGAGAAUCAUUUUUGGAGACUGUUGUGAUCCUGGGGCAGGGAGACAAAGAUUGUUCAGUUGUUAUAGGCUUUACAUGGGCAAAAAACUCAGUGUCCCUUUGAUGGAUUCUGGGCAGUGGCUAGGGACCCUCAGGGAUUGUCGGAUUCCGUGGGGACACAUGCCUUCAAUUCUCUGGGCAGGGUUGUUCUGCAGUUCUGCAGAGACAGCAUCAGCUCGUGUGGGGCUGCUGAAGAUGCAGAAGUUUCCUGUUCCUAGCUAUGCACAUAAUUCUGGGCCAAAGCAACGCACAUGCAUCUUGUCCAGUAGAAAAUAUAAACCUCUGUACAUCCAGUUCUCAUUUAAACUGCCUGUA
Molecule: long non-coding RNA, 6032 nt
Filed under: Homo sapiens (human)
Lineage: Eukaryota; Metazoa; Chordata; Mammalia; Primates; Hominidae
Description: HSALNT0305697
Source: RNAcentral